RNAcentral lists this ribosomal RNA (727 nucleotides) under Anacaena lineata. RNAcentral's name for it is "partial 16S ribosomal RNA". The stretch from base 1 to 543 matches the Rfam family "Bacterial large subunit ribosomal RNA", at positions 1913 to 2925 of the family's 2925-position model. Lineage: Eukaryota; Metazoa; Arthropoda; Insecta; Coleoptera; Hydrophilidae. The record is from RNAcentral.
CCAAUGAUAAUUAAAUGGCUGCAGUAUUUUAACUGUACAAGGUAGCAUAAUCAUUAGUUUUUUAAUUGAAAGCUUGUAUGAAUGGUUUGAUGAGAAAAUAACUGUCUUAAUUUAAAUUUUAUAGAAUUUUAUUUUUAAGUUAAAAAGCUUAAAUAAAAUUAAAAGACGAGAAGACCCUGUAGAGUUUAAUUUAAAAAAACAUUAUAAGUUUUUAGGGAUAAUAAAUUUAUAUAUUUAUUUAAAUUUUAUUGGGGUGAUAUAAAAAUUUAAGUAACUUUUUAAACUGUAAACAUUAAUCUAUGUUUAAUUGAUCCAUAAGUUAUGAUUAAAAGAUUAAAUUACCUUAGGGAUAACAGCGUAAUAUUUUUGGAGAGUUCUUAUCGAUAAAAAAGAUUGCGACCUCGAUGUUGGAUUAAAAUUAAAUAUUAAUGCAAAAGUUAAUUAUUUAGGUCUGUUCGACCUUUAGAAUUUUACAUGAUCUGAGUUUAAACCGGUGUGAGCCAGGUUGGUUUCUAUCUUUAAUUAAAGUAUAUAUUUUAGUACGAAAGGAUCAGGUAUUUUUAAUAAUUAGUUCUGUAAGAAUAAAAAUGUUAUUUUGGCAGAUUAGUGCAUUAAAUUUAGAAUUUAAAUAAGUAGUAUUUAUACAGAUAAUACAUAUUUAUUUUAGAUUAUAUUUUACUUAGUUUAAGAACAUUAGUAUUAAUUAUUUGUGUAUUUAGUUGGUGUC